Molecule: transfer RNA, 67 nt
Filed under: Donax vittatus
Lineage: Eukaryota; Metazoa; Mollusca; Bivalvia; Cardiida; Donacidae
Description: tRNA-Pro
Source: RNAcentral
CAGACGUUAGUUUAACAAAGAUUAUGGCUUUGGGAGCUUUAGAUUCUAGACUUCCUAGAACGUCUGA